This is a long non-coding RNA of Suricata suricatta (meerkat), 441 nucleotides long. RefSeq lists it as uncharacterized. NCBI's taxonomy places the organism in Eukaryota, Metazoa, Chordata, Mammalia, Carnivora, Herpestidae. The transcript is spliced from 3 exons. The record is from RefSeq and is a predicted model, not a curated record.
ACAGGUUCUAAAAGGCUGUUUCACUUAAAAGUGGACAGAUAGAAUCUGGUCCAGGUGGUUCAAGCCUACUAAGAAAAAGGAACGAUUCAAGCUGUCCUUUACACUAGGCUUAGAUGUUCAUGAACAGAUUUUUUUCACCUGCAUGAGUGUCCGUUGAGAUGUUUGAAUGUUGGGGAAGACACGGAAUGAUCCAACGGUCCUCAGGAGAGUCAGAGGAAUGUGCCUAGGGGGAAGACUCACCUGCCGUCGCUGGCUUUGAAGACAGAGGACAGGGACAAGAGCCUCUAGAAGUUGGAAAAGACAAGGGGUCAGAAUCUCCCCUCGAGCCUCCAGGAGGGAUGAAACCCCACCAACACCUUGAUGGGAGCCCAGUAAGAUCCACUCCGGCUUCUGGCCUCCAGAACCGUUAAGACAAUAAAUUUGUGUCAUUUAAGCCACUAA